AUUGAACGCUGGCGGCAUGCCUUACACAUGCAAGUCGAACGGUAACAGGUUAAGCUGACGAGUGGCGAACGGGUGAGUAAUGUAUCGGAACGUGCCCAGUCGUGGGGGAUAACUGCUCGAAAGAGCAGCUAAUACCGCAUACGACCUGAGGGUGAAGGCGGGGGAUCGCAAGACCUCGCGCGAUUGGAGCGGCCGAUAUCAGAUUAGGUAGUUGGUGAGGUAAAGGCUCACCAAGCCGACGAUCUGUAGCUGGUCUGAGAGGACGACCAGCCACACUGGGACUGAGACACGGCCCAGACUCCUACGGGAGGCAGCAGUGGGGAAUUUUGGACAAUGGGCGCAAGCCUGAUCCAGCCAUGCCGCGUGCGGGAAGAAGGCCUUCGGGUUGUAAACCGCUUUUGUCAGGGAAGAAAAGGUUCUGGCUAAUACCUGGGACUCAUGACGGUACCUGAAGAAUAAGCACCGGCUAACUACGUG
RNAcentral lists this ribosomal RNA (477 nucleotides) under uncultured bacterium. Its description in RNAcentral is "partial 16S ribosomal RNA". It matches the Rfam family "Bacterial small subunit ribosomal RNA", at positions 30 to 507 of the family's 1533-position model. The record is from RNAcentral.